RNAcentral lists this ribosomal RNA (460 nucleotides) under uncultured Capnocytophaga sp. Its description in RNAcentral is "bacterial SSU rRNA". It matches the Rfam family "Bacterial small subunit ribosomal RNA", at positions 338 to 795 of the family's 1533-position model. Lineage: Bacteria; Pseudomonadati; Bacteroidota; Flavobacteriia; Flavobacteriales; Flavobacteriaceae. The record is from RNAcentral.
CCUACGGGAGGCAGCAGUGAGGAAUAUUGGUCAAUGGUCGGAAGACUGAACCAGCCAUGCCGCGUGCAGGAAGGCGGCCUUAUGGGUUGUAAACUGCUUUUAUAUGGGAAGAAUAAGGGGUACGUGUACUUUGAUGACGGUACCAUAUGAAUAAGCAUCGGCUAACUCCGUGCCAGCAGCCGCGGUAAUACGGAGGAUGCGAGCGUUAUUCGGAAUCAUUGGGUUUAAAGGGUCUGUAGGCGGGCUAUUAAGUCAGGGGUGAAAUAUUUCAGCUUAACUGGGAAAUUGCCUUUGAUACUGGUAGUCUUGAAUAUUUGUGAAGUUUUUGGAAUGUGUAGUGUAGCGGUGAAAUGCAUAGAUAUUACACAGAACACCGAUUGCGGAGGCAGGGGACUAACAAAUAAUUGACGCUGAGAGACGAGAGCGUGGGGAGCGAACAGGAUUAGAUACCCGAGUAGUC